AUGUCCAUUGAGUCGGUGAAUGCCAUCCAACCAUCUCAUCCUCUGUUGUCUCUGUUGUCUCCUCCCAACCAGCUCACAAAGGUUCCAGAAGUUUAUCAGCUGGCUUUUGUGACUGGCAGGAGUCAAGUCCAGCAGACCUGUGCUUGUAGCAGUACAUUCUUGGAUCUCUGUGUUCACAAAGCAGAGCAGGGGCAGACUGGGACGGAGGACUGCCUUCGGGUUUUCUCCCACAGACGGAAAUUCAAAGCCAACAGGCCUCUCCCCGAGAGACUGCAGACCCAGGCCAAGGUUCCCAGGAAAUGGCCAGCUCACCCUGUCUGACAAGUGACCUCUCCUGACAAGUGGCCAAUUGAGUUUCAAAACAACAGUGCCACUGACUAAAAGAAAAUUGCCUCUUUAAAAAAAAAUUGUAUUUAUUUAUUUUUGGCUGUGCUGGGUCUUCGUUGCUGUGAGGGCUUUUCUCUAGUCGUUACAAGUGAGGGCUACUCUUUAACUGUCAUAUGCAGGCUUCUCAUGGCAGCGGCUUCUCUUGGGUGGAGCAUGUGCUCUGGGCAUGGGGGCUUCAGUAGUUGUGGCCUGGGGCUCAGUAGUUGCCGUUCCCGGGCUUUAGAGCCCAGACUUAAUAGUUGUGGUACAUGGGCUUGUGGAGUUAGUUGCUCUGGGGCAUGUGGAGUCUUUAGUGUCAGAGGUCAAACCCAAGUCUCCUGCAUUGGUAGGCAGACUUACACUGAGCCACCAGGGAAGGCCAAAAUUGCCUCUUCUUAAAGAACGCAAGGUGGUUCAUAGGUGGAUCAGAGUUCCACUCUUCAGAUGCAGGAAUAUGGGGGACACUCAUACUCAUUCCACAGAACAGGAUAUCUGGGUCACCCCUUCCCAGAGGGGCUGACGCAUGCGUAUGCUCUGCUUACGCUCGAGGGAAUUGGUAGCUGGAGGUAGUGCAGGACCCGCCGUACUGGGCAUGCUUUCUGAACACAGGAGCGCCUGCCAUGGAUCUGCUCCACCGCUCGGUAAUGAGGGCUCAGACUGGUGACUCCUGGCCUCUGCACAGUGUGUGUUUUGUUUCCUUGCUUGAAGGCAAUUUUAAGCUUAAAUGUAUAUGGGUGGGAGGGGAACAUGUUUUCCUAUUAGACAGUCUAAAACAACUGGCAAAGGUACAAGGAGCCCUUGUUACCUGGACCAGGAUCUGAGGAAAUGCUCCUUACCCAGAAGAGGACUCUGGAAUAAACUGUUCCUUUCACCAGGCUGGCUCA
RNAcentral lists this long non-coding RNA (1250 nucleotides) under Bos indicus x Bos taurus (hybrid cattle). RNAcentral's name for it is "lncRNA (ENSBIXG00000003588.1)". Lineage: Eukaryota; Metazoa; Chordata; Mammalia; Artiodactyla; Bovidae. The record is from RNAcentral.